GACGAACGCUGGCGGCGUGCCUAAUACAUGCAGGUAGAACGCUGAAGAGAGGAGCUUGCUCUUCUUGGAUGAGUUGCGAACGGGUGAGUAACGCGUAGGUAACCUGCCUUGUAGCGGGGGAUAACUAUUGGAAACGAUAGCUAAUACCGCAUAACAAUGGAUGACACAUGUCAUUUAUUUGAAAGGGGCAAUUGCUCCACUACAAGAUGGACCUGCGUUGUAUUAGCUAGUAGGUGAGGUAAUGGCUCACCUAGGCGACGAUACAUAGCCGACCUGAGAGGGUGAUCGGCGACGCUGGGACUGAGACACGGCCCAGACUCCUACGGGAGGCAGCAGUAGGGAAUCUUCGGCAAUGGGGGCAACCCUGACCGAGCAACGCCGCGUGAGUGAAGAAGGUUUUCGGAUCGUAAAGCUCUGUUGUAAGUCAAGAACGGGUGUGAGAGUGGAAAGUUCACACUGUGACGGUAGCUUACCAGAAAGGGACGGCUAACUACGUG
This 497-nucleotide ribosomal RNA is filed under the name uncultured bacterium. Its description in RNAcentral is "partial 16S ribosomal RNA". It matches the Rfam family "Bacterial small subunit ribosomal RNA", at positions 28 to 507 of the family's 1533-position model. The record is from RNAcentral.